This is a long non-coding RNA of Ostrinia nubilalis (European corn borer), 1256 nucleotides long. RefSeq lists it as uncharacterized. The record is from RefSeq and is a predicted model, not a curated record. The transcript is spliced from 3 exons. NCBI's taxonomy places the organism in Eukaryota, Metazoa, Arthropoda, Insecta, Lepidoptera, Crambidae.
AUUUUUGGGAAGGAUCAAAUCUGCCUAUGAAAAUAUAUCCCAUUAAAACACAAUUAUUAUGAUAAAUUAUUUUAUUUCUAUAGUAUGCGUAAUAAAUAACUAAAAAGUCCUAAAAUUAUUAUUAAUUUCCCAUAUUUCGGGUAAUUUUCCCACGUAAAUAACUGAGAACACUGGUCUUUGACGUAUUAUUUUUUCGAGUGAAUGACGUUUGAUUUCAAUUAAUUUCAAUAUUUUAAUGUCGGGAAAUAAGUGAUUGGAUUAUUAUUUUACCUGUGAAAUGUGAUUCCUUAAUUUUUGUUUGUCCGAACAGAACGGUUUUUACACAAUUUCAUCUCACAAGACAUGUCGUAUUCGUGUUGUUUUUUCGCCGCCUAAAUGUGUCAACUGUGUGAAGUUUGCACUCGAAGUGGUGCGUCAGGGUGUGAAUGUGUGCGUGCCGGCCUGUACGUACAGGCAAGCUGGUGUAUCCUAAUGUCACAGUAUUUUGUUGAUGAGAAUCCGUCCGACUUUUUUUAUAGGUCCAUGGCUAGAAAUUAACAAAAAUCCUGCAAGAGCACCGAGAUCUCGCUUUUGGCGAGUGGAAGUCCAAAGGCAAAGUGCAGCGGUUUGCAGUUCUUAUACUAUGUUGAUUGUAAUACUUAAUUGAAUCUUUAUUAUUAAAAGUGUUAGCGAUACCUCUUGGGAGGCGUCCGACAGGACGCGGGGGGUGCUUUUGGGAGGCGCCCGAAGGGCGCGGGGGGCUGGUAUAGGAUAUAAUCCCGUGGACGGGCAUUCGAACGUCAACUGUGAUCUAGAGAGUCGAAGUGUCUAAGUGUUUUAAGAGAGUGGUGUCACCUGUGUUUUAAAUAGUUCUAACAUAUCAGAAGUGAGUCCUGACGCCCAUUGAUAAAAAUAAAUCAAAAUAGGCGCAGAGACGCGCCUAUCUGCAGAAUGGCCGUAUCGGCGCAAAAGAAAAAGUAGUUCUACCAACGCAAAUACUACGCCACACUGCACGUGUUUCGACCGGUCCAAACGAGUUACGCACGAUCACCCCACCCGAGUUACGUUAUAAAAAGGCCGGUCGCCUCGAGCGGAGCGCAUUCGCUCGCCAGCGCUCGAACCGACAACAUCUGAUUUUUUAAAUAAGUUGAUUAUUUUUAUAUGGAUUGUUGUUGAUUGUAGUUUUAAAAUACAUUGUUGAUUAUUUAUUGGUGUUGUAAUAAACGGCUAUUAUGAGUAAAGAAGAUGGUUUUAAUGAUCAGAGUUCCCUUCCUAUU